Molecule: long non-coding RNA, 396 nt
Organism: Clupea harengus (Atlantic herring)
Lineage: Eukaryota; Metazoa; Chordata; Actinopteri; Clupeiformes; Clupeidae
Exons: 3
Source: RefSeq, a predicted model, not a curated record
CUCUCCUCACUCUAAAGACUUACCCAGCAUGACCUUCAACCAAAACUUCUCUUUUGAGGCUGUGAAGGAAUCUAUCUCUGGAGUGAAUUUGCAGCUGGAGGAGAAACUGGAUGACAUCUUCAGGCAGGAAGUAGUCAGAAUAUCUGCAGCAGUAACAAGUAUCCAGAUCAUCCAGUCUUUAGAAUCUGAUCCUGAGCUCCCAGUCAGAAGAACCAAAAGUAAGGACAUGCCGCCACUAUCGAGUAAGUCAUUAGAUGAGAGAAUGCGACCCAGAAAUCACACUUGCCGUGUAAAUAUUUGUGGAAUAUGGGGGAUUUCAGGGUUGGAUAAGAUGUGCUAAAGAUUCAAGGUAUGGGAGAAUGUUGCGGUAUGAAGUUCAUAAACAUUUUAAACUAA